RNAcentral lists this long non-coding RNA (488 nucleotides) under Gallus gallus (chicken). Lineage: Eukaryota; Metazoa; Chordata; Aves; Galliformes; Phasianidae. The record is from RNAcentral.
CUGCGACGAACGGAGAGCAAAAAGCUCUCCUCCGAAGGGCUGAGGGAUCGGCCAGCAGCAGUGCUGGGUGCCAAACUGCCGCAGCUCAGCUCGGGGGUUGCGUUCACUGAGCUCUGAAGGUUCUGGACUCCCCGUUCUGCAGUGCAGGAGCUGCACCUCUGAAGGCCAUCUGGUCCCACCCCCUGCGAUAAGCGGGGACACCCACAGCUCCAUCAGGUGCUCAGAGCCCACCCAGUCUGACCUUGGCUGUACCCAUGGAUGGGACGUCCACCACCACAGCACUCAGCUCUCCAGGAGCAGGCUGACACACGGACCUGGAGGAGAAGGGCAAGUUGUCGUGGCCGGCGCUGGCGCAGCAGUAGAAGCCCUGCAGGGUUUUCACCACCCGUCCUCUCGCUGGGCUGAUGUUUGAUUGCAUCCCACAGCAGCAGACUGGAGCUCCACAAACACAUGGGGAAGGCACAGCUCAUGCCAAAGGCUGUUCCCAG